GAUGAACGCUGGCGGCGUGCCUAAUACAUGCAAGUCGAGCGAACAGACGAGGAGCUUGCUCCUCUGACGUUAGCGGCGGACGGGUGAGUAACACGUGGAUAACCUACCUAUAAGACUGGGAUAACUUCGGGAAACCGGAGCUAAUACCGGAUAAUAUAUUGAACCGCAUGGUUCAAUAGUGAAAGACGGUUUUGCUGUCACUUAUAGAUGGAUCCGCGCCGCAUUAGCUAGUUGGUAAGGUAACGGCUUACCAAGGCGACGAUGCGUAGCCGACCUGAGAGGGUGAUCGGCCACACUGGAACUGAGACACGGUCCAGACUCCUACGGGAGGCAGCAGUAGGGAAUCUUCCGCAAUGGGCGAAAGCCUGACGGAGCAACGCCGCGUGAGUGAUGAAGGUCUUCGGAUCGUAAAACUCUGUUAUUAGGGAAGAACAAAUGUGUAAGUAACUAUGCACGUCUUGACGGUACCUAAUCAGAAAGCCGCGGCUAACUACGU
This 496-nucleotide ribosomal RNA is filed under the name uncultured bacterium. Its description in RNAcentral is "partial 16S ribosomal RNA". It matches the Rfam family "Bacterial small subunit ribosomal RNA", at positions 28 to 506 of the family's 1533-position model. The record is from RNAcentral.